UACGGCUCAGUAACAUGUGGCUAACCUACCCUUAGGACGGGGACAACCCCGGGAAACUGGGGCUAAUACCCGAUAGGUGAGGAGGCCUGGAAUGGUUCCUAGUCGAAAAGGCGUUGAAACCAUGCUUUUCGACGUCGCCUAAGGAUGGGGCCGCGCCCGAUCAGGUUGUUGGUGGGGUAACGGCUCACCAAGCCUAUAACCGGUACGGGCCGUGAGAGCGGGAGCCCGGAGAUGGGCACUGAGACAAGGGCCCAGGCCCUACGGGGCGCAGCAGUCGCGAAAACUCCGCAAUGCGCGAAAGCGUGACGGGGCUACCCCGAGUGCCGUCCGCUGAGGAUGGCUUUUCCCCGGUGUAAUGAGCCGGGGGAAUAAGGAGAGGGCAAGUCUGGUGUCAGCCGCCGCGGUAAUACCAGCUCUCCGAGUGGUAGGGAUGAUUAUUGGGCUUAAAGCGUCCGUAGCCGGCUUAGCAAGUCUCCUGUUAAAUUCAGCGACCUAAUCGUUGAGCCGCGGGAGAUACUACUAGGCUAGGAGGCGGGAGAGGCCGACGGUAUUCUCGGGGUAGGGGUGAAAUCCUAUAAUCCCGGGAGGACCACCAGUGGCGAAGGCUGUCGGCUAGAACGCGCUCGACGGUGAGGGACGAAAGCUGGGGGAGCGAACCGGAUUAGAUACCCGGGUAGUCCCAGCUGUAAACGAUGCGGGCUAGGUGUUGGGGUGGCUACGAGCCACUUCAGUGCCGCAGGGAAGCCAUUAAGCCCGCCGCCUGGGGAGUACGGCCGCAAGGCUGAAACUUAA
RNAcentral lists this ribosomal RNA (792 nucleotides) under uncultured archaeon. Its description in RNAcentral is "bacterial SSU rRNA". It matches the Rfam family "Archaeal small subunit ribosomal RNA", at positions 84 to 859 of the family's 1478-position model. The record is from RNAcentral.